RNAcentral lists this ribosomal RNA (497 nucleotides) under uncultured bacterium. Its description in RNAcentral is "partial 16S ribosomal RNA". It matches the Rfam family "Bacterial small subunit ribosomal RNA", at positions 28 to 507 of the family's 1533-position model. The record is from RNAcentral.
GACGAACGCUGGCGGCGUGCCUAAUACAUGCGAGUUGAGCGAUGAAGCUUGGUGCUUGCACCAAUUUGAAGAGCAGCGAACGGGUGAGUAACGCGUGGGGAAUCUGCCUUUGAGCGGGGGACAACAUUUGGAAACGAAUGCUAAUACCGCAUAACAACUUUAAACAUAAGUUUUAAGUUUGAAAGAUGCAAUUGCAUCACUCAAAGAUGAUCCCGCGUUGUAUUAGCUAGUUGGUGAGGUAAAGGCUCACCAAGGCGAUGAUACAUAGCCGACCUGAGAGGGUGAUCGGCCACAUUGGGACUGAGACACGGCCCAAACUCCUACGGGAGGCAGCAGUAGGGAAUCUUCGGCAAUGGACGAAAGUCUGACCGAGCAACGCCGCGUGAGUGAAGAAGGGUUUCGGAUCGUAAAACUCUGUUGGUAGAGAAGAACGUUGGUGAGAGUGGAAAGCUCAUCAAGUGACGGUAACUACCCAGAAAGGGACGGCUAACUACGUG